AUACGUCGCGACGUAGUUGUACUCCGUGGCUACGAGGACGACGCUGGCGGCGUGCCUAACACAUGCAAGUCGAACGGGGUGAUUUGCUUCGGUAAAUCACUUAGUGGCGGACGGGUGAGUAACACGUGAGCAACCUGCCUUUAAGAGGGGGAUAACAUUGAGAAAUCAGUGCUAAUACCGCAUAAAGCAUAUUUACCGCAUGAUAGAUAUGCCAAAGGAGCAAUCCACUUAAAGAUGGGCUCGCGGCUGAUUAGUUAGUUGGUGGGGUAACGGCCUACCAAGACGAUGAUCAGUAGCCGGACUGAGAGGUUGAACGGCCACAUUGGGACUGAGAUACGGCCCAGACUCCUACGGGAGGCAGCAGUGGGGAAUAUUGGGCAAUGGGCGCAAGCCUGACCCAGCAACGCCGCGUGAAGGAAGAAGGCUUUCGGGUUGUAAACUUCUUUUGUCAGGGAAGAGUAGAAGACGGUACCUGGCGAAUAAGCCACGGCUAACUACGUG
Molecule: ribosomal RNA, 501 nt
Filed under: uncultured bacterium
Lineage: Bacteria
Description: bacterial SSU rRNA
Rfam family: Bacterial small subunit ribosomal RNA
Source: RNAcentral